AGUCGUAACAAGGUCUCCGUAGGGGUACCUGCGGAGGGAUCAUUACACAAUAAACAUAUGAAGGCUGCACCGCCAACAGGCGGCAAGGCUGGAGUAUUUUAUUACCCUUGUCUUUUGCGCACUUGUUGUUUCCUGGGCGGGUUCGCCCGCCUCCAGGACCACAUGAUAAACCUUUUUUAUGCAGUUGCAAUCAGCGUCAGUACAACAAAUGUAAAUCAUUUACAACUUUCAACAACGGAUCUCUUGGUUCUGGCAUCGAUGAAGAACGCAGCGAAAUGCGAUACGUAGUGUGAAUUGCAGAAUUCAGUGAAUCAUCGAAUCUUUGAACGCACAUUGCGCCCUUUGGUAUUCCAAAGGGCAUGCCUGUUCGAGCGUCAUUUGUACCCUCAAGCUUUGCUUGGUGUUGGGCGUUUUUUGUCUUUGGUUUUGUCCAAAGACUCGCCUUAAAACGAUUGGCAGCCGGCCUACUGGUUUCGCAGCGCAGCACAUUUUUGCGCUUGCAAUCAGCAAAAGAGGACGGCACUCCAUCAAGACUCUAUAUCACUUUUGACCUUCGAUCAGGUAGGGAUACCCGCUGAACUUAAGCAUAUCAAUAGCCG
This 599-nucleotide ribosomal RNA is filed under the name Bipolaris sorghicola. Its description in RNAcentral is "eukaryotic LSU rRNA". The stretch from base 224 to 377 matches the Rfam family "5.8S ribosomal RNA". Lineage: Eukaryota; Fungi; Ascomycota; Dothideomycetes; Pleosporales; Pleosporaceae. The record is from RNAcentral.